GCAAGUUCAUAAGAGCAAACGGUGAAUGCCUUGGCAUCUGGAGCCGAAGAAGGACGUCGUAAUCUGCGAUAAGCCUCGGGGAGCUGAUAAACGAGCUGUGAUCCGAGGAUUUCCGAAUGGGGAAACCCCGCCAGGCCCCUUGUGGUGACCUGGUGACUCCCGCCUGAAUAUAUAGGGCGGGUAGAGGGAACGUGGGGAAGUGAAACAUCUCAGUACCCACAGGAAGAGAAAACAACAGUGAUUCCGUCAGUAGUGGCGAGCGAACGCGGAAGAGGCUAAACCGAGUCAUGUGUGAUACCCGGCAGGGGUUGCAUGGCCGGGGUUGUGGGACUUUUCGUUCCGGUCUGCCGGCCGGUGAACGUUACAGCGCAUCAUAGACGAACAGGUUUGAACGCCUGGCCAGAGCGGGUGCGAGCCCCGUAGUCGAAAUGGUGUUAUGGCGUGAAGAGUAUCCCAAGUAGCACGGGGCCCGAGAAAUCCCGUGUGAAUCUGUCAGGACCACCUGAUAAGCCUAAAUACUCCCAGAUGACCGAUAGCGGACAAGUACCGUGAGGGAAAGGUGAAAAGUACCCCGGGAGGGGAGUGAAAUAGUACCUGAAACCGUUUGCUUACAAACCGUCGGAGCCUCCUUGUAGGGGUGACGGCGUGCCUUUUGAAGAAUGAGCCUGCGAGUUAGUGCUCUGUGGCGAGGUUAACCCGUGUGGGGCAGCCGUAGCGAAAGCGAGUCCGAAUAGGGCGAUUCAGUCGCAGGGUCUAGACCCGAAGCGAAGUGAUCUAUCCAUGGCCAGGUUGAAGCGACGGUAAGACGUCGUGGAGGACCGAACCCACUUCAGUUGAAAAUGGAGGGGAUGAGCUGUGGAUAGGGGUGAAAGGCCAAUCAAACUUCGUGAUAGCUGGUUCUCUCCGAAAUGCAUUUAGGUGCAGCGUUGCGUGUUUCUUGCCGGAGGUAGAGCUACUGGAUGGCCGAUGGGGCCCAAAAGCUUACUGACGUCAGCCAAACUCCGAAUGCCGGUAAGUGAGAGCGCAGCAGUGAGACUGUGGGGGAUAAGCUUCAUAGUCGAGAGGGAAACAACCCAGACCACCAACUAAGGUCCC
This 1095-nucleotide ribosomal RNA is filed under the name Rathayibacter sp. AY2B5. RNAcentral describes it as "bacterial LSU rRNA". It matches the Rfam family "Bacterial large subunit ribosomal RNA", at positions 1 to 1048 of the family's 2925-position model. Lineage: Bacteria; Bacillati; Actinomycetota; Actinomycetes; Micrococcales; Microbacteriaceae. The record is from RNAcentral.